CCGGAGGUGGUAGUCGCCGCAGCAAAGAGGUCAUUACCAAGGCCGCCAUCAUAGAAGUCAAGAAUAUGAGCAGCUAUGGGGCUUGAAAUUUCCUCCUGUAAAUUUCAGAGUGGGACAAAAUAUGCAAGUACCAGUUGUUCUUGGAAAUGACUUCUUGUCAUUUUAAUUACAACCUCAUGAGCAUGCAUUGAUGUAUAGACAGGAUGCAAGAAAUACGGCGGCAAAAAGAUCUCAAGAAGGAAAUGAAAUUGCUUGGCUGGGUUUCAGAACAUCAUCACAAACCUAGGAAGAACCGAGCAAAAAAAUGUGUUAGAUCAGAGAAGCAAUUACUGUGAUGCAAUCAUCGGGAAGCAUGGCGGGCACCAAGGAUCUUCAAUGCAUGAAGAUGAUCUGAUUGGUGCGCAGCGUAGCUUUUGGGCUAAACUUUCUCCAAUAUAUAACAGUGAUCCUUGAGAAGAGAUGAAAUGGUUCUACUUGUUGUGGCUAUAAUGGGAGAACGGGCAUGUGCGAGCAUGAUAGGCUAUAACGAAAGAGAGGGGACCGAAAAUAAGCCUGUUUGGCCAUGCAGAUGCACAUGACUUUUUUUCCAAAAUGACAUCACCAAGGAAGUCAGGACCCUGAAGUUUCUCUGCUACGAUUGCGGUCGGGAGAGAUACGGGAUAAAACCAAAGACAGAACCAAGAAGUCAGCGAACAUAAAUUAAUUGGAUAUCCUAUAAAUGCUGCUGCAUGGUGUAAUGCAAGGAUGCUAUUUUUGCGCAGAUUGCUUAUUCCUGGAAAGAAGUCUCCAUGACGGUCACUCCUGGAACCUGAUAGGCCAGAUCAUGCGACCGCAUUGACGGAGUGUUUUAGCCCGUAUAUGAAACAUAUUUCCUUUAUUAUUUGCAUCAUGGCAAUCUCCUUUUAGUCA
Sorghum bicolor (sorghum) is the source of this 909-nucleotide long non-coding RNA. RefSeq lists it as uncharacterized. The record is from RefSeq and is a predicted model, not a curated record. Lineage: Eukaryota; Viridiplantae; Streptophyta; Magnoliopsida; Poales; Poaceae. The transcript has 2 exons.